RNAcentral lists this ribosomal RNA (460 nucleotides) under uncultured bacterium. RNAcentral's name for it is "partial 16S ribosomal RNA". It matches the Rfam family "Bacterial small subunit ribosomal RNA", at positions 338 to 795 of the family's 1533-position model. The record is from RNAcentral.
CCUACGGGUGGCUGCAGUGAGGAAUAUUGGUCAAUGGGCGGAAGCCUGAACCAGCCAAGUCGCGUGAGGGAUUAAGGCCCUAUGGGUCGUAAACCUCUUUUGUCAGGGAGCAAUGGCGUCCACGUGUGGGCGUAUGGAGAGUACCUGAAGAAAAAGCAUCGGCUAACUCCGUGCCAGCAGCCGCGGUAAUACGGAGGAUGCGAGCGUUAUCCGGAUUUAUUGGGUUUAAAGGGUGCGUAGGCGGGACCUUAAGUCAGCGGUAAAAUUGCGGUGCUCAACGCCGUAGAGCCGUUGAAACUGGGGUUCUUGAGUGAGCGAGAAGUAUGCGGAAUGCGUGGUGUAGCGGUGAAAUGCUUAGAUAUGACGAAGAACCCCGAUUGCGAAGGCAGCUUGCUGCAGCGGAACUGACGCUGAUGCUCGAAAGCGCGGGUAUCGAACAGGAUUAGAUACCCUUGUAGUC